Molecule: ribosomal RNA, 238 nt
Filed under: uncultured bacterium
Lineage: Bacteria
Description: partial 16S ribosomal RNA
Rfam family: Bacterial small subunit ribosomal RNA
Source: RNAcentral
UGGCGGACGGGUGAGUAACGCGUGGGUAACCUGCCUCAUACAGGGGGAUAACGGUUAGAAAUGACUGCUAAUACCGCAUAAGCGCACAGUACCGCAUGGUACAGUGUGAAAAACUCCGGUGGUAUGAGAUGGACCCGCGUCUGAUUAGCUAGUUGGUGGGGUAACGGCCCACCAAGGCGACGAUCAGUAGCCGACCUGAGAGGGUGACCGGCCACAUUGGGACUGAGACACGGCCCAA